CAUAAAGAGUACACUAAGUGGAAAGUGCAUCCCUCUGAAGUUCGAGCUUCAGUUCUCUCCUGAAGAGAAAGGGAAGAAGAACGUCCAUAUCGACAUACUACAAGGGUCAGCAACCCUUGCAGAAAGAGAGUAUAUCAUUUCAAUAGAAGAUGAACCGGAUUAUGCAGUCGAUCCCCCAUAUUCACUGGGGGGAAUGCAGUAUGUUUCCAAUGAUCUUCUCGAGACCCUGGCAGAUGUAAUCCAUACACCAACGAAUUAAAGUCCCUUGGCUACCAGCUUGGCUUCUCUUCUUCAUCUAUGGAGAAAUACAACAACCCAGCAGACGUGUCCUUUGAUAGUGUCUCGAGGUCAGGCUUUGGUGAGAUGCUGCGUGACUGGAGAUGGAAGGUUCGACCUAGUGAGCAGGUAGAUGAACUUCAUCUGGCAUUAAAAAAUGCUGGGUUGGGCCACACAGCUGAGGUCAUCAUUCAUGGACUGAGUAUCACCUCAAGGAGGCGCUUUGCACAACUUAGAGAAGCAUGGGAGUCAAAGAAAUAGGCCAACACUUUCCUUGCAAUGAUUAUCCUCAUCCAACGACCAAGAAGAGAUUCACUUGAUUUAUACAUUAAGCUGAGAAGCCUACGUCUUCAGUAACAUAUAUUUUAAUUAGUCUGCAUGAUCCUCAGCCUGACCCUCGAAGUGCAUUUUUCUUCCCUAGCCAAUGCUGCUGGGAGUCAUGUAGCUAAGCUACAUAUGAGAAUUAUUUCUGUUUAACCUUGAUAGUAAAUUAAUAAAAAAAAAAAAAGAACAACAAGAGAAGCAGACUAGUGAGAGUUUGAAGGAAAUCAGACAGAAAAGGAGUAAGUUAUGAAUAUUUGACAGUUAUAUUCACUAAUUAUGGGCACUUCAAAGUGGUUACAAAAAAGGCUCUCAAAAUCCCCUCAUAUUUGAAAGUUGACUGAAGAAGCUUUUAAAAAUGUAGACUAAAUUGAGACUGCAUGCGACCUUCUGCAAAAUAAAUUGAGUCAAUUUUACGUCAUUUCGAUUGAAUAAAAAUCUUUAGAAUACAACUUUGUGGAUACACCCUCGAAUCAAACAGUCCCAAUACCAUAAGCAGUUUCUUUUCUAAAACAAUGGCAUGACCAGUACUUAUCUCUCUUCAGGAUGUAUCAAACUUGGUUCAGUUGUCUUAGUGGCUAUAAUAAUGUGUUCGUUGUGAAAGGUUUGUGUGGAAAGCGUUUCAGUUUUAUCGCCGCAAUAAUUAUAUGCAUGGCAUAACGACAACAGAAAUUGUUCUUCUUAUAUAAAUGUUGCAUGGCAAAUGUUUUAGUUAACUAGCUAAAACCAUCAUUUCAUGAAGCAACUGAUAACCCUAUUAAAUACAAGUAUUGCCCUUUUGUAAAAUUGUCUCGAUUCUAUUAAUACAAAUACGUUAUGCAUAAAGUAAUAACCGCAGUAAGUACGUGAUAU
Molecule: long non-coding RNA, 1449 nt
Filed under: Strongylocentrotus purpuratus (purple sea urchin)
Lineage: Eukaryota; Metazoa; Echinodermata; Echinoidea; Camarodonta; Strongylocentrotidae
Description: uncharacterized LOC115919488
Source: RNAcentral